CAAGGCACACACAGCAUCAUAUUGACAUUACACAAAAUGCAAGUUUUCAUGAAAUAAUUUUUUUAGCUAUUUUCAUACCAUAACACUCUUUAAGUUUUUGGACACUCUAAAUUUGUGGACACCCAAGAUGCCAAAAUAAUUAUUUUGCGUGACUCUAAUAUUUGGACAAACGGGUGUUAGUCCAUAAUUAAUGACUAAACAUUUUUGGACAGUUUAUUAUGCCCCCCUUCGUACAAGAGGGGGUAUAUUGUUUUGCACAUGUCCGUCGGUCAGUCCGUCGGUCGGUCCGUCCACCAGAUGGUUUCCGGAUGAUAACUCAAGAAUGCUUAUGCCUAGGAUCAUGAAAUUUCAUAGGUACAUUGAUCAUAACUGGCAGAUGACCACUAUUGAUUUUCAGGUCACUAGGUCAAAGGUCAAGGUCACAGUGACUUGAAAUAGUAAAAUGGUUUCGGGAUGAUAACUCAAUAAUGCUUAGGCCUAGGAUCAUGAAACUUUAUAGGUACAUAGAUCAUGACUGGCAGAUGACCCCUAUUAAUUUUCAGGUCAAUAGGUCAAAGGUCAAGGUCACAGUGACUCGAAACAAUUAAACGGUUUCCUGAUGAUAACUCAAGAAUAAUUAGGCCUAGGAUCAUGAAACUUCAUAGGUAUAUUGAUCAUGACUGGCAGAUGACCCCUAUUGAAUUGCAGGUCACUAGGUCAAAGGUCAAGGUCACAGUGACAAAAAACGUAUUCACUACAACUGACAGCCCAUAUGGGGGGCAUGCAUGUUUUACAAACAGCCCUUGUUUUACAAUGCUUUUUUACCAGAUUUUCUGCUCUGUUGCCCUUAUCUGGUGACACUUUGAUCACACUGUUUUUACUACCGGAUUAAGGUCAUGAAACCUUACUGACCAUUUGAAUGCCUAAAGGUAAUGAAUUAUCACAUUUGCACUAUUGGGUAAAUGAAUAUGUAUACCGGUUACAUAAAUGGUUUCACCCAACAGCUUAAAGUGAAUCAUAUACACAUAUACAAGUAGUUUAUAUUAUAUGUUGAUGUUUUUUACAAGCACAUGCCAUUAUUUGUUGAAACAAUUGAGGCUAUACACAUUGCAUACCCUGAUCAUCAAUUCAACAUUUUUAGGGUGUUUCUAAAUUAUCGAACUCCUGUUUUUUUUCUCUCGAAAUUGUUCUGACUCAUUUAUAACAUUAUUCUCAAUUAUUUUACAAGUGUCCAAAAAGUAUGGUAUUCACAUUUCAAUUUUAAUCAAGUAUAGUUUUUUGGGGGGAGUUCAUUUUUGAUACUGAGACUUUUGAGAAAAGUGAAAUCCCAUAUGCUGCUUUUGUUGUACAGUUAUUGGUGAAGUGGGGAAAUGCAAAUUGUUCCAACUUAAAUAACACACAGUUCUAAAAUACAGACUGAUCUUAUUCGAUAAAAUGCACAUACAUUAUUGCCAUGCUUUGUUAUUGUUUUGUAUUUGGUGAUGGAUUUUGUAUUGACAAUCAAAUAAUGUUGUUUUGUUUAUCAAAAAAAGUAAAUUAGAUUUAUAAGUAUUCUUUAAACCCGUACUCUUUGGAUAAAGUGUUGUGGCAAAACACUUUAUCCAAUCUUAAUUAGCAAGAUACUUUUAGUAAUCAUUUUCAUUUCAAAAACAUGCCCCAAAUACUAUUUCGAAAGUUUGGAAUGUUUGUUCUUCAAGUACCAAAUGAAUGUUUUUCAUAUAAAUAAAAAAUCUGAGGAUUCUUGUUUUGAAAAAAAUAUAUCUUCAUUUAGAAAUUCCUCUCAAAAUCAUUAUUAUAAUGUUUUAAAUAUUUUACAUAAUUUUCUUCCUUGAAAAUAUUAUAAUAUGUUAGAUGUAUAAUCACUGGUCAAAUAUUGAAUAAUUAUUUAAAAAAAAACACUGUAAAAUGGAUAAAUUACUCAUAUCCUUGAAUGCUGUACUUUAUAUAAAAUUGUUUCUGAUAAUCAGGGGUGGCGAAAUCUCAAAAAACUAAACUUGUUCACGGACAACCAUUUAGGAAAUUUAACUUGUCCGUUGCUGAACUACACUUGUCCGUAAAUGUUUAUAUAAAUUAUAAACGCAUUUAUUGAUUAAUGUUAAAUAAUGUGGAAUAUAUCAAAAUGAGUAUGAUUUGCUUUGUUUUGUUUAUAGUUGUAUUUCAGUGGUACAUUCAUUAUAGCAGUAUAUUAUAAACAAUAUAAAGACUUUCUCAAACUUUAAAUCUUGCGAAGCUAGUGUUAUUAAAACAUGUGUUGAACAUAAGUACAUCGUAAUCGUUACAAAUUAAACUAGUCCAAUAUGUGAACCUCAUCAGACUGAGGCUCUGCACUGCUACUGGUAGCAAUUUGAUUAUCAUCAACUGGUAACAAUGGAAAAUCUGUUAGCCAAGUUUCUUGAAAAGUUCUGGUGCGUUUACUUAGAUCAUAUUUUUUAUCAUAAUCUUUCUUAGUUUUUUGGGGAGGUGGACUGCUCAAAGCUUCGGGUUUCUGCUCCAUUGUUGAAGAUUUAAAAAAAAAAAAAAUGUUCCAUCUUUACCAUUAAAGUCGUCUUAAAUAACAAGGUAGACUGUGUUUUGAUUAUCUUAGUUUGAUACUUUGUAUUUCCGUCUUAUUGUUAAAAUAAAGAAACCAGUCUGUACACUGUCUAACAGUCGGGCUGAAUGUUGAAAAUGCUGCAUGCUCCCGGUCUCUUAUAGAAUAAGGGAGAUCACUGCGCAGGAGAGUGCACGUAUUUUAGCUUGAUUGCUCCGCAAAUAGCACUGUCAAUGAAAUCGUGUGUCAACAUCCGGUUGUAAAACAUAAUUACGGCUUUAAUACAAUGUAUUUUUAUGCCCCCCUUGGAAGAAGAGGGGGUAUAUUGCUUUGCUCAUGUCGGUUGGUCGGUCGGUCGGUCCGUCCACCAGGUGGUUGUCAGACGAUAACUCACGAACGCUUGGGCCUAGGAUCAUGAAACUUCAUAGGUACAUUGAUCAUGACUUGCAGAUGACCCCUAUUGAUUUUGAGGUCACUAGGUCAAAGGUCAAGGUCACGGUGACCCGAAAUAGUAAAAUGGUUUCCGGAUGAUAACUCAAGAACGCAUACGCCUAGGAUCAUGAAACUUCAUGGGUAGAUUGAUCAUGACUCGCAGAUGACCCCUAUUGAUUUUGAGGUCACUAGGUCAAAGGUCAAGGUCACGGUGACCCGAAAUAGUAAAAUGAUUUUCGGAUGAUAGCUCAAGAACGCUUUUGCCUAGGAUCAUGACACUUCAUAGGUACAUUGAUCAUGACUUGCAGAUGACCCCUAUUGAUUUUCAGGUCACUAGGUCAAAGGUCAAGGUCACAGUGGCAAAAGUCGUAUAUACACACAAUGGCUGCCAGUACAACAGACAGCCCAUAUUGGGGGCAUGCAUGUUUUACAAACAGCCCUUGUUUUUGUAUACCUGGACCCGACUUUUAAAAAACUUGUUGUUCACGGACAACUUAAUUGAAAAAAUCAGUUGCCCAGACAAGCAAAUGUACUACAUGGGCAACUCGAACAUUUGAUUUUGCCACCCCUGAUAAUAACUUAUGAAAAUACAACUGCUACACUGCAACUUCAUUAUAUUGCAGUUUGUGGGAUCCACGAUCACGAUAUCAAUAUAUAUGGAUGGCGAUAUUACUUGUCAGGUCAUUCAUGCAUACAUAUCUCAAAAUAUGUUAUUUACCUACCUUAUUGCAUAAUUUGUUAUAUCCAUAUGUUAUACAUUGGUAUAACAAAUAGUAUUAUUUAAUUUAAGUAUUUUCAAAUGCUUAUUAGUAAAUUUGUAAUGCAGAGCAUUGCCAGGUUUUAUUGUUCAUGUAACGUUAACAAACUAUAGCCACAAAUAAACAUUUCUCGUUUACUUUGUGUAAAUCUUUUGUACUGGUCAACUUUAAGCAUUCAAAAAUACACUUCAUGUUAAAGUGAACCAAUAUAUACUGUAAAAUCAUUAAAUUUCGUAUGGUACGAAUUUUCGUGGAUUUCGUUGGUCCACUGAACCACGAAUUCAAGUACAAACGAUUAUUUAUACAUUUUUAAUCCGAAAUCGGUCAUUUCCGAAUGUCAUUUCCGACCUUUUCUUGUGUUGUCAGUUAUCCGAGAUAUUGGUUUUUGUAAUAGUUACUUCACUUCAGUAGGUCACAUUACACUAUAUCUAUCAGUUUUUCUUUUUAUGUCCCCCACUAUAGUAGUGGGGGACAUAUUGUUUUUGCCCUGUCUGUUGGUUGGUCUGUUGGUUGGUCUGUUGGUUGGUCUGUUUGUUGGUCUGUUUGCGCCAACUUUAACAUUUUGCAAUAACUUUUGCUAUAUUGAAUAUAGAAACUUGAUAUUUGGCAUGCAUGUGUAUCUCAUGGAGCUGCACAUUUUGAGUGGUGAAAGGUCAAGGUCAUCCUUCAAGGUCAGAGGUCAAAUAUAUGUGGCCAAAAUCGCUCAUUUUAUGAAUACUUUUGCAAUAUUGAAGAUAGCAACUUGAUAUUUGGCAUGCAUGUGUAUCUCAUGGAGCUGCACAUUUUGAGUGGCGUAAGGUCAAUGUCAAGGUCAUCCUUCAAGUUCAUAGGUCAAAUAUAUGUGGCCCAAAUCGCUUAUUUUAUGAAUACUUUUGCAAUAUUGAAGAUAGGAACUUGAUAUUUGGCAUGCAUGUGUAUUUCAUGGAGCUGCACAUUUUGAGUGGUGAAAGGUCAAGGUCAUCCUUCACAAGGUCAAUGUCAUCCUUCAAGGUCAAACGUCAUAUAGGGGGACAUUGUGUUUCACAAACGCAUCUUGUUUUUAUUUAUCAUCGUUAAUGUACGUUUUCAUGGUAAAUAAAUAUAAUAAAAUAGCAUUACCAAUUGUGGAGAAAAACACAUUUCUUUUACGUGACGUCGUAAAAUUAACAGUUUGCAGAUUUAUCAUAUAUGUCAAUAUGCGCAAAUUAAAUUUCAAAGAGACACACAUGUAUUUUGGCGACCUGAUUACUCAAGUGUUUCUACUAGGGGACCGAUUGCGCUGAGAAGUGCAAAUAUUGUCGAAACAACAUCGAUGGCAAUUAGCGAGCAGGGACCCACAAGUGCGCGGCUUUAUCGCUCUUAUCGACAAUUAUCGGCAACACUUUCAUGCUUCAGUGCACAUUAACCUCAAGGUUUGCUGUCAACACAGAUUUGCAGAUUAUGCUUCGUUAUUACUCUGGUUGUUUUGAUAAAACUUUUAUUAUUAUGACGGUCAGUCUUCCCCGAAAAUUUGAAAUCCACGAAAUUACGUGUCAACGAAUUAGUUGUUUUUCAUUAAGCCACGAAAUUUCAUACCGACGAAUUUCUGUACGUUUACAGUAUAUUAUCAUUGUAAAAUUGCAUAGUUUUUUCAACGUUUUGUUUUUUGUGCUUCAUAAAAUGAAUUAAAAUGUAUGGUAUUUGAAUGUUAUGAACUGUACAUUUAACAUUGCAUUGCUGGUCUUGAAUGUAACGUCAAUAUGUUAUAAAACAACACUUGACCUUGAGAGAGUCUUAAGUGUUGUCAGCAAAACAAAUUUACUAUGUAAACAAGAUGCACACAUUGCUCAAAAUUCAUUUUUACCUAGAAAUCCAAUUGUUUUGUAUUUACAUUUCAAUUUUAUACAAAUUUAGUUUUUAUGCCCCCGAAGGAGGGCAAAUAGUGAUCGGACUGUCCGUCCGUCUUUCCGUCACACUCUGCGUUUAGUUUUCGAAAAAUGCUCAUAACUUCUAUGUCCCUUGACAUAUAACCUUCAUAUUUGGUAUGCAUGUGAAUAUGAACAAGGUCUUUCCAUACGCACACAAAUUUUGACCCCUGUGACCUUGACCUUGAACUUAGGGUCCGCGUUUAGGUUUCAAAAAAUGCUCACAACUUCUAUCAAAGCAUACAUUUUUGAUUGUGAAAAUGUUUAGAAAAAUGAAAUCCUAUAAAGUCUUUUUGUAGUAGAGGUAUUUGUGUACUAAGGAAUGCACGUUGAUCUUAUAAACAUAUUUUCAUGACAUAAUAAUAUGUGUAAAAUAUUCACUGUUCAAUUUUUUUAUGCCCCCGGAUCUAAUGAUCGGGGUUAUAUUGUUUUUGGCCUGUCUGUCUGUCAUUGUAUGUGUGGGUCUGUUGGUCUGUUUAUCUGUCCCUAAACUUUAACUUUGGUCAUAACUUUUGCAAUAUUGAAGAUAGCAACUUGGUAUUUGGCAUGCAUGUGCAUCUCAUGGAGCUGCACAUUUUGAGUGGUGGAAAGUCAAGGUCAUCCUUCAAUGUCAAAGGUCAAAUAUAUGGCUUCAAAGCGGCGCAGUAGGGGGCAUUGUGUUUCACAAACACAGCUCUUGUUUUUGUUUUAAUAGUUGAAAUGUCACCCAUACAAAAUGCUCCGAAAAAGUGUUAGUGAAUGAAUUUUUGUCCAGUAUAUGGUACGUCCUGUAACAUUACAAAUAAACAUCCUUUAACAUGUUAACUUGAUCUCUACUCAAUUAUAUGUUUGAAAUUUGCUUUUUAUUCAGAACACUCAUGCACUUUGUAUCAAAUGUAUUUAUCUACUAUUUAGCUAUUAAAUAUCUUAAAA
This is a long non-coding RNA of Dreissena polymorpha, 6494 nucleotides long. RefSeq lists it as uncharacterized. Lineage: Eukaryota; Metazoa; Mollusca; Bivalvia; Myida; Dreissenidae. The record is from RefSeq and is a predicted model, not a curated record. The transcript is spliced from 2 exons.